ACAACUACUACCAUUCAGCCAGCUAGCUGGUGUGAGCCCUGCUACCUUCUUGACACAACCACAAUUGUUGCCGUUCUACCAGCACGCUGCGCCUAACGCUGGCACCCUCUUACAACUGCAACAAUUGCUGCCAUUCAACCAACUUGCUUUGACAAACCCAACAGCAUUCUACCAACAACCCAUCAUUGGUGGUGCCCUCUUUUAGAUUUCUUAUGAGUUAUAGUUCAAUAAUAAAGUUUUUUGUCUGAUGUUUGUGGCUUCCCAGAAAUAAGAAAGUACAUUUCUAGAUUCUUAUGUGCUUCUAGUCUCCAAAUGUGGUUGAUAGUUAUUUUGCUCUAAGAUUAGCAGUAAUGAAGUAUAAAUCAUCGUUGUGGUGUGCUACUCGGUUAAUUGAGCAUUAACACACACAAACAUGACGAGGAUGGUAUAAUCUCCAAAAAUGUGUACUUUGUUAGGUGGGACCCUAUAGCCUUGCAGAAUGUGCUACGUUAGGCAUGCCAAUGGAAACGUGUGACACAUACGUUUUGUGAAUCUGUUGAUAUUAUAUGUGCUUUUAUAUUACCAUAUUUUAUUAAAAUACUAAUAUUUAUUACUAGUAAGAUAUAACAUUCUAUCUAGCUUAAAAACUAACCAUAAAUAUUCCAUAAUAACUAGAUUUACCAAACUAAUAUACUAAAUAUACAUAAUAAAUAUAAAAUUAACAAGACAAUAAUUAAUAUUUAUGAGCUUAAUUUAUUUAGACAUUAUGGUUGGUCGACGAUAAUCAUGCUAACUUUCCGUAAUUGCUUGAUUGUAAAUAUGCUUAGAAUAAUGCCUCUUUGUUCUACAUGGCAAAUAGGGACCAUUAUGGUGUAACACCCCGGGAUCCACAAACACCCCGAAAUGCUACUAAACUACACAACUAACCUUCAUAUAUAAAAUUUCGACAGCAUCUCCUUUGAAAAUUUGCAUAAACGUGGAAGCAACAGAGUAUAAACAGAUAUCAUGAUAAGGAAACAUACUAGACAUUAAUAAUCUGCUAGAAAUGGGAAGAUAACCAUAACGACAUAAACUGAAUUAACUAGUGUGCACAACUUGUUAAAAACAAACAUCGUUGACAAGAAGUUUCUAAUUAAAUCAUGGUUGUGCCUGGGCAGCGUUAUUAUGAGAGUGAAGGUGGACGUGAUGCUACUUCCCUCAUUCCCAACAUGAAUCAAGUACCUGCAUUGAGUAAUGCAAGAGUGAGAUGAAAACAUCUCAGCAAGUAAAUUGUUUUGACGAGAUAUUUAAACCAAAAAAAUUGAUUUAAUCAACAUUUUAAAGGGAUCACAAUUGAGAUCAGAAAUACUUGUAGAUAUAGAACUCAAUAGUCCCAAAAUAACCAAUGCCAUCUCAUUUCCUCAAACAACCACAAUAGGUUGUAUAACACUUCCCUGCGUCAUCAAUACCUGCAAAUAUCACUUCAAUGUAUGCAUAGGAAUGCAAUGUUUAAGUCCUCUGCAUUCAUACUUCUUAGAGUAUAAAACCACACCAUCUGCAAAUAUCACUUCAAUGAAUGCAUAUGAAUGCAAUGCAUAUGUCCUCUGCCUUCAUACCUCUAAGGGUAUGAAGCCGCAUCGUACCCCUCCUCGGGCAACGUACGAUGCUAAGUUGUACCGGUACGGUCGGACCAUAGGUCACGACAAAACUUCAGAUGCAAGUGAAUCAUGACAUGUAUAUGGCAUGCUGCAUUUAUCAAUAUACUUCACUUCCUUCAUAUACAAUACAAACCUAAAAUAAUACUUCGUUUACCUUCAGAUACAAUACAAACCUCAAAUAAUACUUCAUUCACCUUCAGGGGUGUUUAUUAAUCUCGUGGGUCAUACUCAAAUCAUCAUCAUCAUCAAUGAUGUUUAAGCAUCAGUAUAAUACAAUCAAGUAAAGCAUCACCAUAGAGUUCAAUUAUGAAAGAAUUCGAUGAUUCUGAAUAUUAGAGUGUAUGCGAUGAAACAACAAAGUCAAAACGGUAGCAACCACCUCUACAUUCACUUGCCUUCAUCGAAGAAGAAAAAGGUACUAGGCAUGAUUCGGAGUGUAGACACCUGCUGUGGGGCUUAAAACUUAGUACAAAUAUUCCAUAAACAUUUGCCAACAAUUAACAAAUCGCUCCUACACUUGAAACCAAGACCCGGUGGAAUGACUCCCACCCUGAACCACAUGCCAAACAACAAUAGUGUUGUUUGUUAAUUUCUAUCUUUAAAAUUAUAACAGUGGUGAUAUCAAACAAAUACUCUAUACGUUUCUACACAAAAUACUCUACAACUUCGGUAUUCAAUGGAUAAUUAAAUUUUGCCAUCUAUAAGUUCUAAAACAUCUGACAAGAUAACUGACUGAAUCUGUUUCAGACAACAGCAUAGUUAACUUCAAAAUUCGAUAUCUCCCUAACUCCUCAACAAAAAAUUAUGAAAUUAUGCUGACAGUAAGAACUUUUAUCCCUCUACAAAAGUCUCCAUAGUUGAAAGAGCCAAUUCGGCCAUUUACUAGAUGAAACCUACCAGUUAACGGACCCGCUCAUUUUUGUCAAGCAAACAAGAACCCUUAUAUAUCAAAGAGUAGUGGAUUUGAAUUUGUCUAAUAUGAAGUUUACGGGCUUGGCUCAUUUAAAGUAUUUAAUAAUUCUGAAAGACAAGAUUAAACUAACUAUGUAUGAUCCUUUAGCACCGUACAGAUGGUCGAUGGGACAGUUACAUGGUUUAUAUAGAUGGACCUAUCUAUAUUCCUUCAGUGGUUGAGAAAAAAGUAAAGGUGUGUCACACUCACGUGUGCGCCGCCUCCGCCGAGACGAGGCAUGGCGUUGCAAGGUGAGGCAUGGCAUGGUGUAGCACGAUAGCAGUCAUGGUCGUGGCACAGUGUAGCACUGUUGUGGAUAGAUAGGUAAACUAUUGUUGUAGUUAGAGUGCAUGAGUUUUUGAAUGCAACACUAGAAUUUUCACAAUUUAACUUAAUUAAGAAGUUAUAUCUUGAUGACACAGAGUUACCUGACCAUUGAUCUCACAUGCCCUUUUAGCUCUCUCGUUCUCUAGACUCACCCUGACUAUUUAAGUCUCUUGACUCGCCAAUAUAAACACCAUCCUAUCAUUUGCUCUAGAAUACUUCUGUGUCACAACUCAACUGUCAGAUGAGUACUCCAUUACAGCACUUACGUACACGAGUUCUAUGAGAGCAGGCCUCCAAAAUGAAUAUCUACUUAGAUGAAGGACGACAAUCGUGUUCUAGGGAAAUAUCAGCGACACAACUCCUUACUUCCUUCGCUUCUUCCUAGUGUUUUUUGUUGUGAUUGAGUCGACACAGCAACAACACUGCACUAUUACAACCAGUACGACUAUAUCAACUAGCAAUGUCUUCCUUAUAUGUUACUAUUUAUUUUGCACAUAUUCAUUAUGUUUAAAUCACAUAGGCACCUUUCUAUUGGCAUCAAAAAAUUAGUAUCAACUUUCUAGAUUAAAAUGAAACUAAAAGUACAUAAAUUUCUAUCGGUGGGGAUCGAGUGAUUCUUUAAACCGAUUAUUACACAAGUUAACCACACUAAAAUUAACAUUGGUGAAUCGUGCCAUGAUUUUUUUUCUAGUGGAAAAUAGCCAAACCAAGCAACACAUAUGUGGCUAUCGUUACACAUGUGUAAAGGUAUUGCAUCACACUAUUGUCACCCAUGUAUUUGGACAAUACCGAGAGGAAAAACCACUUAUUUAUUGUAUUUUAUCAAGUUUGUCUUGCUUACGUAUAAAAUUAUAACCCAACAAAGUAAUCACUAAACGUCAAAACCAACUAGAUAUCAUGUCAUCUCUACCUUAUCUUACUAAUAUUCUUUUUGCAAAAUCCAAAAUUAAUCUUGCACAAGCACAAGGACUGAGAUGUGUAUAAAUAUCUCUUAAAUUAGUAGCUAAUAUAUCGCACAUAUUAUUUAGACCAACUAGCAACAUAGAAAGCACAAUAGUGUACCAACAAUGGCAGCCAAAAUAUUUUGCCUCCUUAUGCUCCUUGGUAUUUCUGCAAGUGCUGCUACGGCGACCAUUUUCCCGCAAUGCUCACAAGCUCCUAUAGCUUCCCUUCUUCCCCCGUACCUCUCACCAGCGGUGUCUUCGGUAUGUGAAAACCCAAUUCUUCAACCCUACAGGAUCCAACAGGCAAUCGCAGCUGGCAUCUUACCUUUAUCACCCUUGUUCCUCCAACAAUCAUCAGCCCUAUUACAGCAGUUACCUUUGGUGCAUUUAUUGGCACAAAACAUCAGGGCACAACAACUACAACAACUUGUGCUAGCAAACCUUGCUGCCUACUCUCAGCAACAGCAGUUUCUUCCAUUCAACCAACUAGCUGCAUUGAACUCUGCUUCUUAUUUGCAACAACAACAACUACCAUUCAGCCAGCUACCUGUUGCCUACCCCCAGCAAUUUCUUCCAUUCAACCAACUGGCAGCAUUGAACUCUCCUGCUUAUUUACAGCAGCAACAACUACUACCAUUCAGCCAGCUAGCUGGUGUGAGCCCUGCUACCUUCUUGACACAACCACAGUUGUUGCCGUUCUACCAGCACGCUGCGCCUAACGCUGGCACCCUCUUACAACUGCAACAAUUGCUGCCAUUCAACCAACUUGCUUUGACAAACCUAGCAGUGUUCUACCAACAACCCAUCAUUGGUGGUGCCCUCUUUUAGAUUUCUUAUGAGUUAUAGUUCAAUAAUAAAGUUUUUUGUCUGAUGUUUGUGGCUUCCCAGAAAUAAGAAAGUACAUUUCUAGAUUCUUAUGUGCUUCUAGUCUCCAAAUGUGGUUGAUAGUUAUUUUGCUCUAAGAUCAGCAGUACAACAACAACAACAACAACAACAACAACAACAACAAAGCCUUUUUGUCCCAAGCACGUUGGGGUAGGCUAGAGAUGAAACCCCGUAUGAAAACCUCAGAGCUCAACCCCCAAAGAACAGAAAAGGGAAACAAAGGCAAAGGAGAACCGAAAACAACGAAACGGGGAAACACAUAAAAGAGAUAAAACCCACAAGGACCAGCAAGAUCUAAAAUGGACACAAGAAAAGGUCAAACGAUUAAGGAGGAAAAGCGAAACUAUCAAUCAGGGUUCUGGCACGUGAAUUGCACACUUCCACCCCUUCCUAUCUGCGGCGAGCUCUUUGUCAAUAUUCCACUCCUUCAGGUCUCUCUUCACAGCCUCUGUCCACGUCAAAGUUGGUCGACCUCUACCUCUCUUCACAUUUUCGGGACGCCUAAUUAUUCCGAUAUGCACUGGUGCCUCUUCAGGUCUUCGUUGGAUAUGUCCAAACCAUCUCAAGCGAUGUUGCAUAAGCUUCUCCUCAAUUGGCGCCACUCCUACUCUCUCUCGUAUAUCAUCAUUCCGGACUCGAUCUCUCCUUGUGUGGCCACAUAUCCAGCGCAACAUACGCAUCUCUGCCACACUUAGUUGUUGGACAUGUCGUCUUUUAGUGGGCCAACAUUCUGCUCCAUACAACAUAGCCGGCCGGAUUGCUGUCCUGUAGAAUUUGCCUUUUAGUUUGCGUGGCACCCGGUGGUCGCAUAAGACACCCGCAGCUUGUCGCCACUUCAACCAUCCGGCUUUAAUUCUAUGACUGACAUCCUCAUCGAUGUCUCCCUCCUUUUGAAGCAUUGAUCCUAAGUAACGAAAAGUGUCUUUCUUGGGUACCACUUGCCCAUCAAGACUAACAUCGCCAUCCUCAUACCCCAUGGCACUGAAAUCACACUUCAUAUACUCUGUUUUAGACCUACUAAGCCUAAAACCUUUUGCUUCCAGCGUCUGCCUCCACAAUUCCAACUUUUGAGAAACACCACUCCUACUCUCCUCAAUAAGUACCACAUCAUCGGCAAAAAGCAUACACCACGGUAAAACUCCUUGUAUGUCCCUUGUGACCUCAUCUAUCACCAAAGCGAAAAGAUAAGGGCUCAAAGCCGACCCUUGAUGUAGUCCUAUGUUAAUUGGAAAGUCAUCGGUGUCUCCAUCACUUGUUCGGACACUUGUCACAACAUUAGUGUACAUAUCUUUAAUAAGAUUAAUGUACUUUGUUGCUACUUUGUGUUUUUCCAAGGCCCACCACAUUACACUCCUAGGUACUUUGUCAUAAGCCUUCUCCAAGUCUAUGAAGACCAUAUGCAGGUCUUUCUUUUGUUCUCUGAAUCUCUCCAUAAGUUGUCUUAGUAAGAAAAUGGCCUCCAUAGUUGAUCUCCCGGGCAUGAAACCAAACUGAUUUUGGGUCACGCUCGUCAUCUUUCGCAGGCGGUGUUCAAUGACUCUCUCCCAUAGCUUCAUUGUAUGGCUCAUGAGCUUAAUUCCACGGUAAUUAGUACAACUUUGAACAUCUCCUUUGUUCUUGAAGAUUGGUACUAAUGUACUCCGCCGCCACUCGUCGGGCAUUCUGUUUGCCCGAAAGAUGGUGUUGAAAAGCUUAGUCAGCCAUACUAUCGCUAUGUCUCCAAGACAUCUCCAUACCUCGAUAGGGAUACCAUCAGGGCCCAUCGCCUUUCCUACCUUCAUCCUUUUUAGCGCCUCCUUAACUUCAUAUUCUUGUAUCCUUCGUACAAAACCCCUGUUGUUGUCAUCGAAUGGUUCGUCCAAUUCUAUUGUAGCACUCUCAUUCCCUCCAUUGAACAAUUUGUUGAAGUACUCCUUCCAUCUGUUCUUGAUCUCUUCACUCUUCACUAAUAGUUGGUUUGCUUCGUCCUUGAUGCAUUUGACUUGGUUGACAUCCCUUGUCUUCCUUUCACGAAUCUUGGCCAUCCUAUAGAUAUCCUUUUCUCCCUGCUUUGUGUCCAGCCGUUGAUAAAGGUCGUCAUAGGCUUGACCCCGGGCUCUACUAACCGCUCGCUUUGCAGACUUCUUCGCUAUCCUGUACUUCUCUAUGUUUUCUGCACACUUGUCAUGAUGUAAGCGUUUGUAGCAAUCUUUCUUCUCCUUGAUAGCCUUUUGGACAUCUUCGUUCCACCACCAAGUGUCUUUAACUUCCCUUCUGUUCCCUUGACUCAACCCAAACUCUUCUGAAGCUAUCUUUCGGAUGCAUGUCGCCAUCUUCCUCCACAUGAUAUUUGCGUCUUCCUCUCCUGCCCAAGGGCCCUCCUCGAUAACUCUCUUCUUGAAAGUUUGGGCCACAUCCCCUUUAAGCUUCCACCACUUUGUUCUAGUGACCUUGUUAUGCUUAUUUCGUUGUAAACGAAUCUUAAAACGGAAGUCAGCAACGACAAGCUUAUGUUGGGUUACCACACACUCUCCAGGUAUAACCUUGCAAUCUAAGCAGGCAUGCCUGUCCUCUUUUCUCAAGAGGACGAAAUCAAUCUGGCUAGUGUGUUGGCCACUACUGAAGGUCACCAGGUGGGAUUGCCUCUUCUUAAAGAAAGUGUUUGCUAUAAACAUGUCAUAGGCUAGGGCAAAGUUCAGGAUUUCCUCUCCUUCUUGAUUCCUAGUCCCAAAGCCGAAGCCUCCAUGUACACCCUCGAAACUGGUGCUAGAUGUACCCACAUGGCCAUUGAGAUCUCCUCCUAUGAAGAGCUUCUCGCCAACUGGCACACUACUAACCAUGUCCUCUAGGCCUUCCCAGAACUCUCUCUUUGAGUUCUCAUUAAGGCCUACUUGAGGAGCAUACGCGCUGAUAACAUUGAGAACCAAGUCUCCAAUGACCAGCUUGACUAGGAUGAUUCUAUCUCCUACCCUCUUAACAUCUACUACCCCAUCUUUGAGGCUCUUGUCGAUCAAGACGCCUACUCCAUUCUUGUUUGUUGCAGUCCCCGUGUACCACAACUUGAAACCUGUACCUUUCACUUCCUUCGCCUUCUGUCCCUUCCACUUGGUCUCUUGAACGCAUAAAAUAUUUACCCGUCUCCUCACCGCAACGUCAACUAUUUCUCGUAACUUACCUGUUAAGGAACCUACGUUCCAACUGCCUACACGGACCCUAGUUGGCUCGACUAGCUUCCUUACCCUUCGCACCCGCCGAGGAAGAUGCAAAGACCCUUGCUCAUUUUUCACUACACCCGGGCGCCGAUGUAGCGCGCCACUAAGGAUGCGACGACCCGAUCCUUGCUCACUUAUCACCGGCUCCAGAUCAAGAGACAGCGCGUCACUUGAGGGGUGACGACCCGGCCCUUGCUCAUUUAACACCAUACCCGGGUUCCGAUAUGGCGCGUCGCUAAGAGGGUUACGCCCCAACGGUUUUCUUUGUGGUUUCAUCUCCAUAAGAUUUGGCUGGUUUUUUACGUUGGUUUGCCGGACCUAACACAACCCUCCUCCUUUACCGGGCUUGGGACCGGCUAUGUUGAAACGACUCAAGGAAGUCUUCCAAUCAACAUAGGCGGAGUUUAAGAUCAGCAGUAAUGAAGUAUAAAUCAUCGUUGUGGUGUGCUACUCGGUUAAUUGAGCAUUAACACACACAAACAUGACGAGGAUGGUAUAAUCUCCCAAAAUGUGUACUUUGUUAGGUGGGACCCUAUAGCCUUGCAGAAUGUGCUACGUUAGGCAUGCCGAUGGAAACGUGUGACGCAUACGUUUUGUGAACCUGUUGAUAUUAUAUGUGCUUUUAUAUUACCAUAUUUUAUUAAAACACUAAUAUUUAUUACUAGUAAGAUAUAACAUUCUAUCUAGCUUAAAAACUAACCAUAAAUAUUCCAUAAUAACUAGAUUUACCAAACUAAUAUACUAAAUAUACAUAAUAAAUACAAAAUUAACAAGACAAUAAUCAAUAUUUAUGAGCUUAAUAUAUUUAGACAUUAUGGUUGGUCGACGAUAAUCAUGCUAACUUUCCGUAAUUGCUUGAUUGUAAAUAUGCUUAGACUAAUGCCUCUUUGUUCUACAUGGCAAAUAGGGACCACUCUAGGAGACUAGGAUGUUGCUUGAGAUGAAAAUGUCAGAAUUGGUGUAGACUAAUUUCUAUCGGCCGCUGACUUCACUAUUGUAACCAUUAUAUCUUGGGUAAAUUAUAUACGAUUAUCCAGCCAAAGGGCCCAGAUGAUAAAAAACAAUUUUUAAUUGCUAUUUUAGGACAAAUGAAUUAGCAUGGUUCGAAGGAUUACGACCUUCCCCCCAUGACCUUUGUCAUACUGCUUUAGUCUAAUCGACAAAACCAAGAUUAGUUAUCAUCGAAGAAGUUCAUAAGCGAAGUUGUGACGAUGAAAGGAACAUGGUGGUAAUUGGACGAACGACGACACCUUUGUCUAAGAAUGGCAUCUAGAAGAAAUCUCAGACAAAAUAAGACAUGAAUGGCUUGUCAGUACAGCGCAAAUACUGAAACAUGCGCCCUUGAAUAUGAAACAUUUAUAUGUAAGAGGAAGGGAUAAAAAAACUAAUUACUCGUGCCUAAUGAUUUUAUUGGGAAUUUUAAGGCGAGACUUAUGGCAAAGGGUUAUACCAAAAAUAGGGGAGAGAUUAUUUCGAUACUUAUUCACUUGUUUCCCUUCAAAUGGCCAUACAUGUGUUACUUUUUUUGGCUGCCUCGCAUGGUCUUAUCGUUCAUCAGAUGAAUGUUAAGACUGCUUUCCCAAAUGGAGAGCUUAAGGAACAGAUCUACAUUGACUAGCCUAGUGGUUUUAUAUCAAAUGGUAAAGAGGAAAAGGUGUUUAAAAUAAUUGUUUGGUUUAAAACAAGCACCAAAGCACAUGAGAAAAUCGAUAAAGUUCUGACUUUGGCUAAAUUUGUUGUAAAUGAAGUUGAUAAAUGUGUCCAUUACCAGUUUGACAGGGGCGAAGGUAUGACCUUUUUAUAUGUGGACAAAAUAUUAACCUUUUGUAACGAUGUUAAUAUGAUAGAAGAAGUAAAGUAAUUUUUGUCUAGUAACUUAGAAAUAAACAAUCUGGGAGAGGCUAAUGUUGUUCUUAACAAAGAGAUGUUGAGAGAAGGAGGAAAUAGAGGGUUACUCUUGUGCAAUCCUAUUAGGUUGAAAAGUCGCUGAGUCGCUUUGGAUAUAGUGAUUACACGUCUGGUCCAACAACUUAUGACCCAAGUGUGUUAUUAAGGAAAAAUCAUAUAAUUGCAUAUGAUCAAUUGAGAUAUUGUCAAAUCAUGGUCUUCUCAUAUAUUUGGCAAGCCCAACGAUGUCUCAUAUCUGAUUUGUUAUGAGCAAACUCAGUUGCCUUGUCUCCAAUCUAGGGGAGGAUCAUGACAUGCCCUAGAGAGGGUAUUGCGCUUUCUCAAAGGGAUAUGAGUAAUGUCAUUUACUAUACUAGGCACCUAAGAGUACCAGAGUGUUAUAGUCAUGCAAAUAGGAUAUCUGAUGUUGAUUAGAUUUAUGCCACAAGUAGACUUGUGUGCUUCCUUGGAGGUGUGAUUGUUUCAUGGAAGUCUUGUAAGUAGACCAUCUUAACAAGGUCAACAAUAGAAGUAGAACUCACAACAUUAUAUACUACCAAAGUUGAAGUUGAUUGGCUCCGUGAACUCCUUACGGAUUUACCAGUAGUUGAAAAACCAAUACUGGUUAUCUCUAUGAGCUACAAUAAUCAAACAUUUGUAAUCGAAGUAAACAGUUCUAAAGUUAACAUGAUGUCUACAAAGCAUGUAAAAAUGGUUGAAACUGUUAAAACACUAAGAAACUCUAGAUUAAUUAUGUUGGACUAUAUCCAUACAUCGAAUUUGGUAUGCCAGUUUACAGAAGAUUUGUCACAUAAUAUGAUUCAAGGUGCAUCGAGGAAUAUGGGCUUGAGACCCACUUAAUGUCAAUCCAUAGUGGUAGCAGUUUCUAUGUGAUUGGAGAUCCCAUAAAGUAGAAUGGUGAAACAAGCUAGAGAAUGACUGAUGGAGAGACUCCUUAAAUAAAAUCUUGAUAAUUUGAGAUGCACAUUUCUCAUUUGAUGUAUUGUAGGCGAACUAAAAUCUUAAUAUGAUUUGAGUGACUUAUCUAAGCAGGGAUGUUAUCUUACAGAACAUCCUAGAAAGAACACACCUAUAUGAGUUUGCAUGUUAGUCAUAGUCUAUCAUGUGUGGUAAUCUUUAUAUACUCAUGAAAGGCUUGAAGUUUGACUUAUAUGCUUCAAACCAAGGGGGUGCUUGUAACAGUCUAGUACAAGAUAAGAACAUUGGUAAAACUCACUUAACGCAAAAUUGUCAAUUUAAGGCAUAGUUCAUUGUUUAGAUGUGAAUGUGUAAUCCCUGUUCUAGAUGGAUGGUCAACUUAACAGCCUCCACCAAAACCCUGAUAUCUCAAAGAGUAGUGGAUUUGAGUUUGUCUAAUAUGUGGUUUAGAUUUUGGUGGGGAAUUUUAAUAUUUUAUGGGCUUGGCCCAUUUAAGGUAUUUAAUACUUUCAAAAGACAAGAUUAAACAUGUGUGAAUAGUGUCAUGAUUUUUUUCUAGUGCAAAAUAGCCCAACAAAUCAACACAUAUGUGGCUAUCAUUACACAUGUGUAAAGGUAAUGCAUCACACCAUUGUCACCCAUGUAUUUAGAAAAUACCAAGAAGAAAAACAACUUGUUUAUUGUAUUUUAUGGAGAUUAUCUUGCUUACAUAUAAUUAUAACCCAACAAAGUGGUCACUAAAUGUCAAAACCAACUAGGUACCAGGUCAUCUCUAGCUUAUCUUGCUAAUGAUAUUUUUGCAAAAUCCAAAAUUAAUCUUGCACAAGCACAAGGACUGAGAUGUGUAUAAAAAUCUCUUAGAUUAGUAGGUAAUCCAUCACACAAAGCGCAAUAGUGUAGCAAAACUGGCAGUCAAAAUAUUUUGCCUCCUUAUGCUCCUUGCUCUUUCUGCAAGUGCUGCUAACGCGACCAAUUUUCUGCAAUGCUCACAAGAUCCAAUUGCUUCCCUUCUUCCCUCAUACCUCUCACCAGCGACAUCUUCAGUAUGUGAAAACCCAAUUCUUCAACCCUAUAGGAUCCAACAGGCAAUCACAGCAAGCAUCUUACCUUUAUCACCCUUGUUCCUCCAACAACCGCCAGCCCUGUUACAACAAUUACCUUUGGUGCAUUUGUUGGAACAAAGCAUCAAGGCACAACAACUACAACAACCUGUGCUGACAAACCUUGUUGCCUACUCUCAGCAACAAUAGUUUCUUCCAUUCAACCAACUGGCUGCACUGAACUCUGCUGCUUAUUUGCAACAACAACAACAACUUCCAUUCACCCAGCUAGCUGCUGCCUACCCCCAACAAUUUCUUCCAUUCGACUAACUGGCUGCAUUGAACUCUGUUGCUUAUUUACAACAGCAACAACUAAUACCAUGAAACCAGCUAGCUGUUGCGAGCCCUGCUACCUUCUUGACACAACCACAGUUGAUGUCGUUCUACCUGCAAGCUGUGGCUAACGUCGGCACCCUCUUACAACUACAACAAUUGUUGCCAUUCAUCCAACUUGCUUUGACAAACCCAAUAGUGUUCUACCAACAACCCAUCAUUGGUGGCGCCCUCUUUUAUAUUUCUUAUGGGUUAUAGUUCAAUAAUGAAGUUUUUGGCUGAUGUUUGUGGCUUCCCAGAAAUAAGAAAGUAUAUUUCUAGAUUCUUAUGUGCUACUAGUCUCCAAAUGUGGUUGAUAAUUAUGUUGCUCUAAGAACGGGAGUAAUGAGGUAUAAAUCAUUGUUGAGGUGUGAUACUCGGGUAGUUGAGCAUUAGCACGCACAAAUAUGAUGAGGACGGUAUAAUCUCCAAAAAUAUGUACUUUGUUAGGUGGGACCCUAUAGCCAUGCAGAAUGUGCUCUGUUAGACACGUCGAUGGAAACGUGUCACACAUACGUUUUGUGAACCUAUUGAUAUUGUAUGUGCUUUUAGUUGUGUGGUGCUAUAGAUAUGAGGGCUUGUUUCACGUAAUGAGCUAGGGUAGAAAAAUAAUUAUUUGCCUUGGAUUGUUAUGGAAGAACAUACCAAUUGUGACUGCCAUCUCAAUCUAGCUAACAUCUAAGUGACCUAAAAGGAGAGCAUAAGGAACUGAUCUACAAUGACUAGCCUAGUGGUUUUAUAGGAAAUGGCAAAGAGGAAAAUGUGUUUAAGUUAUUACAAUUGUAUGGUUUAAAACAAGCACCUAAGCACAUGAGAAAUUUUAUGAAGUUCUGACUUUGGCUAAAUUUGUUGUAAAUGAAGCUGAUAAAUGUGUCUAUUGCUAGUUUGAGAGGAGGGAUGGCAUGACCUGUUUUUUAUAUUUGGAUGAUAUAUUAAUCUUUUGUAAUGAUGUUAAUAUUAUCGAGGAAGUAAAAUACUCUUUGUGUGGUAACUUUGAAAUAAAUGAUUUUGGAGAGGCUAAUGUUGUUCUUAACAUAAAGAUGUUGGGAGAAGGAGGAAAUAGGGGGUAACUCUUGUGAAUCCUAUUAGGUUGAAAAGACAUUUAGUUGUUUUGGAUAUAGUAACUACACAUCUGGUCAAAUUACUUAUGACACAAGCGUGUUGUUAAGGAAAAUGAUAUAAUCGCAUAGAAUCAAAUGAGAUACUAUCAAAUCAUGGUCUUCUCGUGUAUUUGGCUAAUCCAACGAGGCCUAAUAUCUCAUUGCUAUGAUUAAACUUAGUCGAUUUGUAUACAAUGUAGGGGAUGAUCAUGGCAAGCCCUAGAGAGGGUAUUGCGCUACCUAAAAGGGACUAUGAGUAAUGUAAUUUACUAUACCAGGCACCUAAGGGUACCAGAGUGUUACAAUGAUGCAAACAAGAUAUCUGAUGGUGACGAGAUUUAUGCCACAAGUGGAUAUGUGUGCUUGCUUGGAGGUGUGAUAGUUUCAUGGAAGUCUUGUAAGUAUACCAUCUUAACAAGAUCAACAAAACAAGUAGAACUGGCAACAUAAGAUACUACCAUAGUUGAAGCUAAGUGGCUUCUUGAACUCCUUAUGGAUUUACCAGUAGUUGAAAACUAAUAGUGGUUAUCUCUAUGAUCUAUGAUAAUCAAAUAGUCGUAAUCAAAGUGAACAGUUCUAAGGAUAACAUGAAUUCUACAAAGCAUGUCAAAAAGCGAUUGAAACUAUUAGAACACUAAGAAUCUCUAGAGUAAUUGUGUUGGACUAUGUCCAUACAUCUAAGAAUUUGGUAGGUCGAUUUAGAGAAGGUUUGUCCAUAAUGUGAUAGAUGGUGCAUCGUGUAAGAUGGGCUUGAGACCCUCUUAAUGCCAUUCCUUAGUGGUAGCAUGUUCUAUGUGAUUGGAGAUCUCGUGAAGUAGAAUGGUGAAACAAGAUAGAGAAUGACUGAUGGAGAGACUCCUUAAAUAAAAUCUAGGUAAUUUGAUAUGCAUAUUUCUCCUUUGAUGUAUCGUAGGCUAACUAAAAUCUUAAUAUGAUCGGAGUGAUUUAUCUAAGCAGGGAUGUUAUCUUAUAGAACAUCCUAGAAGGAACACACCUAUAUGAGUUUGACUGCUAUUCAUAGUCUAUGAUAUUUGGGAAAUCUUUAUAUACACCUGAAAGGCCUAGAAAUGUGACUUCUAUGCUUCAAACCAAGGGGAUGCUUGUAACAAUCUAGUAUCAGAUAAGAACUUUGGUGAAACUCACUUCAUGCAAAACCGUUAAUUCAAAGCAUAGUCCAUUGUUCAGAUGUGAAUGUAUAACCCAUGUUCUAGAUGGAUGGUCAACUUAAUAGCCUCCACCAAGACCAUGAUAUAUCAAAGAGUAGUGGAUUUGAGUUUGUCCAAUAUGUGGUUUAGAUUUUGGUGGGGAAUGUUAAUAUUUUAUUGGCUUGACCCAUUUAAAGUGUUUAAUAAUUUUGAAAGACAAGAUUAAACAAAC
RNAcentral lists this long non-coding RNA (14630 nucleotides) under Zea mays. Its description in RNAcentral is "long non-coding RNA (ZMAY_LNC002145)". The record is from RNAcentral. Lineage: Eukaryota; Viridiplantae; Streptophyta; Magnoliopsida; Poales; Poaceae.